GCCCCCGUAGUUCAAUUGGAUAGAACAGCGGCGUUCUAAGCCGAAUGUUGGGGGUUCGAGUCCCUCCGGGGGCG
This 74-nucleotide transfer RNA is filed under the name Candidatus Terrybacteria bacterium RIFCSPHIGHO2_01_FULL_48_17. RNAcentral describes it as "tRNA-Arg". It matches the Rfam family "tRNA". From Rfam's summary of the family: Transfer RNA (tRNA) molecules are approximately 80 nucleotides in length. Their secondary structure includes four short double-helical elements and three loops (D, anti-codon, and T loops). RNAcentral also lists the same sequence under 1 other name. The record is from RNAcentral. Lineage: Bacteria; Candidatus Terryibacteriota.